RNAcentral lists this non-coding RNA (29 nucleotides) under Rattus norvegicus (Norway rat). The record is from RNAcentral. Lineage: Eukaryota; Metazoa; Chordata; Mammalia; Rodentia; Muridae.
UUCUUUUAGGACACAUGUACUCUGCUUUA